AUGGCUGUCGUCAGCUCGUGUCGUGAGAUGUUGGGUUAAGUCCCGCAACGAGCGCAACCCUUGUCCCUAGUUGCCAGCACGUAAUGGUGGGAACUCUAGGGAGACCGCCGGUGACAAACCGGAGGAAGGUGGGGAUGACGUCAAGUCCUCAUGGCCCUUACGGCCAGGGCUACACACGUACUACAAUGGUCGGUACAAAGGGUCGCCAAGCCGCGAGGUGGAGCCAAUCCCAGAAAACCGAUCUCAGUCCGGAUCGGAGUCUGCAACUCGACUCCGUGAAGUCGGAAUCGCUAGUAAUCGCGGAUCAGCAAUGCCGCGGUGAAUACGUUCCCGGGCCUUGUACACACCGCCCGUCACACCAUGGGAGUUUGUUGCACCAGAAGCAGGUAGCUUAACCGCAAGGGGGGCGCUUGCCACGGUGUGGCCGAUGACUGGGGUGAAGUCGUAACAAGGUAGCCGUAUCGGAAGGUGCGGCUGGAUCACCUCCUUUAGAGCAACGAUCUGUCCAACUGACAGGCGUCCGCACAAGUACCCUGCAUUCCACAACCUGAUCCCGCCUGGGUCUGUAGCUCAGGUGGUUAGAGCGCACCCCUGAUAAGGGUGAGGCCGGAGGUUCGAGUCCUCCCAGACCCACCAAGGGAUCUUGGGACGCUCAGGGCCGAUCAUGGGGCCAUAGCUCAGCUGGGAGAGCACCUGCUUUGCAAGCAGGGGGUCGUCGGUUCGAUCCCGACUGGCUCCACAAAGCUCUCUGGUAAGUCAUUGUGGAAUGACACUGCGCACACAAAUUUUAUGCACGCGGGCAUUGUGGCCUGCGUGUGUUCUUUGACAAUUCGGGACGGAAUGAGCGUUUGAGACGAAGUCUCACACGUGUCGUAGAGGCUAAGGCGAAGUAGAUUUGUGUGUUGAUCAUCCUGAGGCGACUUGGGGUUAUAUGGUCAAGCGAAUAAGCGCACACGGUGGAUGCCUUGGCGGUCAGAGGCGAUGAAGGACGUGGCAGCCUGCGAAAAGCUCCGGGGAGCUGGCAACAAGCAUUGAUCCGGAGAUGUCCGAAUGGGGAAACCCGG
This 1064-nucleotide small RNA is filed under the name uncultured Lysobacteraceae bacterium. RNAcentral's name for it is "bacterial SSU rRNA". The stretch from base 1 to 490 matches the Rfam family "Bacterial small subunit ribosomal RNA", at positions 1045 to 1533 of the family's 1533-position model. Lineage: Bacteria; Pseudomonadati; Pseudomonadota; Gammaproteobacteria; Lysobacterales; Lysobacteraceae. The record is from RNAcentral.